This 322-nucleotide ribosomal RNA is filed under the name uncultured eukaryote. Its description in RNAcentral is "partial 18S ribosomal RNA". It matches the Rfam family "Eukaryotic small subunit ribosomal RNA", at positions 1470 to 1796 of the family's 1831-position model. The record is from RNAcentral.
CCCUUAGAUGUUCUGGGCCGCACGCGUGCUACACUGAGUGGAUCAGCGGGUCAGGUUGCGCGAAAGUGUUUCCUAAUCUUAAAAUCCGCUCGUGAUGGGGAUUGACGGUUGCAAUUUUCCGUCAUGAACGAGGAAUACCUUGUAAGCGCGGGUCAUCAUCCCGCGCUGAAUACGUCCCUGCCCUUUGUACACACCGCCCGUCGCUCCUACCGAUUGAGUGGUCCGGUGAGGCUUUGGGAUCUGAGCGGAAAGAGCGUUUCGCUGUUUCUGCCCGGAAAACUCAGUCGAACCUUAUCAUUUAGAGGAAGGAGAAGUCGUAACA